ACUACGUGCCAGCAGCCGCGGUAAUACGUAGGGGGCUAGCGUUAUCCGGAAUUAUUGGGCGUAAAGGGUGCGUAGGCGGUCCUACAAGUCAGAGGUGAAAGGCUACGGCUCAACCCGUAGUAAGCCUUUGAAACUGUAGGACUUGAGUGCAGGAGAGGAGAGUGGAAUUCCCAGUGUAGCGGUGAAAUGCGUAGAUAUUGGGAGGAACACCAGUUGCGAAGGCGGCUCUCUGGACUGUAACUGACGCUGAGGCACGAAAGCGUGGGGAGCGAACAGGAUUAGAUACCCUGGUAGUCCACGCCGUAAACGAUGAGUACUAGGUGUCGGGGGUUACCCCCCUCGGUGCCGCAGCUAACGCAUUAAGUACUCCGCCUGGGAAGUACGCUCGCAAGAGUGAAGCUCAAAGGAAUUGACGGGGACCCGCACAAGCAGCGGAGCAUGUGGUUUAAUUCGAAGCAACGCGAAGAACCUUACCUAAACUUGACAUCCCUUGGACCGCUCCUUAAUCGGAGCCUUCCCUUCAGGGACUGAGGUGACAGGUGGUGCAUGGUUGUCGUCAGCUCGUGUCGUGAGAUGUUGGGUUAAGUCCCGCAACGAGCGCAACCCUUGCCUUUAGUUGCCAUCAUUAAGUUGGGCACUCUAGAGGGACUGCCGAGGAUAACUCGGAGGAAGGUGGGGAUGACGUCAAAUCAUCAUGCCCCUUAUGUUUAGGGCUACACACGUGCUACAAUGGCUGGUACAGAGGGCUGCGAAACCGUGAGGUUAAGCUAAUCCCUUAAAGCCAGUCUCAGUUCGGAUUGUAGGCUGAAACUCGCCUACAUGAAGCUGGAGUUGCUAGUAAUCGCGGAUCAGAAUGCCGCGGUGAAUGCGUUCCCGGGUCUUGUACACACCGCCCGUCACACCACGGGAGUCGGGGGCACCCGAAGCCAGCUUUCUAACCUUUUGGAAGAAGCUGUCGAAGGUGAAGUCGAUGACUGGGGUG
This 982-nucleotide ribosomal RNA is filed under the name uncultured Sporacetigenium sp. RNAcentral describes it as "bacterial SSU rRNA". It matches the Rfam family "Bacterial small subunit ribosomal RNA", at positions 500 to 1482 of the family's 1533-position model. Lineage: Bacteria; Bacillati; Bacillota; Clostridia; Peptostreptococcales; Tepidibacteraceae. The record is from RNAcentral.